Non-coding RNA from Phyllosticta citriasiana, 96 nucleotides. Lineage: Eukaryota; Fungi; Ascomycota; Dothideomycetes; Botryosphaeriales; Phyllostictaceae. The record is from the annotation of a GenBank genome assembly.
UCCUCCGUGGCGCAAUUGGCUAGCGCGUCUGACUGUUAUGAGACCUUCAAGGUCCGAGCAAUCAGGAGGUUGACAGUUCAAGCCUGUCCGGGGGAG